RNAcentral lists this ribosomal RNA (275 nucleotides) under uncultured bacterium. RNAcentral describes it as "partial 16S ribosomal RNA". It matches the Rfam family "Bacterial small subunit ribosomal RNA", at positions 338 to 611 of the family's 1533-position model. The record is from RNAcentral.
CCUACGGGUGGCUGCAGUCGAGAAUCUUCGGCAAUGGGCGCAAGCCCGACCGAGCGACGCCGCGUGGAGGACGAAGGCCUUCGGGUUGUAAACUCCUGUCGAGGGGGAACAAGGGGCGGUGCAGAGCCGCCCUUGAGUGAUCCCUGGAGGAAGCACGGGCUAAGUUCGUGCCAGCAGCCGCGGUAAGACGAACCGUGCGAACGUUAUUCGGAAUCACUGGGCUUAAAGCGCGCGUAGGCGGGCCGGCGCGUCGGAUGCUGAAAGCCCCCGGCUCA